Long non-coding RNA from Hypanus sabinus (Atlantic stingray), 247 nucleotides. RefSeq lists it as uncharacterized. The record is from RefSeq and is a predicted model, not a curated record. NCBI's taxonomy places the organism in Eukaryota, Metazoa, Chordata, Chondrichthyes, Myliobatiformes, Dasyatidae. The transcript has 3 exons.
CUCCUCUGUACAAAGAAUACAAACCGAACUUGUUCAACCUUUGCCUGCAACUUGGAUGCUGAAACCUAGGUGCUGAAACCCAGGUAACAUUCUGGUAAAUCUCCUCUGUACAAAGAAUACAAACCGAACUUGUUCAACCUUUGCCUGCAACUUGGAUGCUGAAACCUAGGUGCUGAAACCCAGGUAACAUUCUGGUAAAUCUCCUCUGUACAAAGAAUACAAACCGAACUUGUUCAACCUUUGCCUG